This 274-nucleotide ribosomal RNA is filed under the name uncultured bacterium. RNAcentral describes it as "partial 16S ribosomal RNA". It matches the Rfam family "Bacterial small subunit ribosomal RNA", at positions 523 to 796 of the family's 1533-position model. The record is from RNAcentral.
AUACGGAGGGAGCAAGCGUUAUUCGGAAUCACUGGGCGUAAAGGACGCGUAGGCGGGUUUGUAAGUCAGGUGUGAAAUCCUACAGCUCAACUGUAGAACUGCACUUGAAACUACAGACCUAGAGUAUGGAAGGGGCAGAUGGAAUUAGUGGUGUAGGGGUAAAAUCCGUAGAUAUCACUAGGAAUACCGAAAGCGAAGGCGAUCUGCUGGGACAUUUCUGACGCUGAGGCGUGAAAGCGUGGGGAGCAAACAGGAUUAGAAACCCUAGUAGUCC